AGCUCAGUGGUAGAGUGCUUGCCUUGCAUGCAUGAGGCCCUGGGUUCAAUUCCCCAG
RNAcentral lists this transfer RNA (57 nucleotides) under Dipodomys ordii (Ord's kangaroo rat). It matches the Rfam family "tRNA", at positions 9 to 63 of the family's 71-position model. From Rfam's summary of the family: Transfer RNA (tRNA) molecules are approximately 80 nucleotides in length. Their secondary structure includes four short double-helical elements and three loops (D, anti-codon, and T loops). Further hydrogen bonds mediate the characteristic L-shaped molecular structure. tRNAs have two regions of fundamental functional importance: the anti-codon, which is responsible for specific mRNA codon recognition, and the 3' end, to which the tRNAs corresponding amino acid is attached (by aminoacyl-tRNA synthetases). tRNAs cope with the degeneracy of the genetic code in two manners: having more than one tRNA (with a specific anti-codon) for a particular amino acid; and 'wobble' base-pairing, i.e. permitting non-standard base-pairing at the 3rd anti-codon position. The record is from Rfam by way of RNAcentral. Lineage: Eukaryota; Metazoa; Chordata; Mammalia; Rodentia; Heteromyidae.